AUCGGAGCAUUUUCGAGAACACAAGUAAGCUGUCAUAAAUUGAUAAGUAAGAUGAGUCAUCGAUCAUAAUCAGACUAAUCACAUACAAAAGAUAGCAAGAUGAGCAUCCAUCACAUGCAUAGAUAAUUUUUGAAAAGCCUACCCUUCUCCAAAAGAUCACUGGAAACUAAUAAAGGAGAAGCCAACUUCAUCUUACGAGGUUAUGCGUCAACUAA
This 215-nucleotide long non-coding RNA is filed under the name Hordeum vulgare. RNAcentral's name for it is "long non-coding RNA (HVUL_LNC000562)". The record is from RNAcentral. Lineage: Eukaryota; Viridiplantae; Streptophyta; Magnoliopsida; Poales; Poaceae.